GUAGAUAUUAGGAGGAACACCAGAGGCGAAGGCGGCUUACUGGACAUAUACUGACGCUGAGGGACGAAAGUGUGGGGAGCGAACGGGAUUAGAUACCCCGGUAGUCCACACCGUAAACGAUGAGAGCUAGUUGUCUGCAAGUUUACUUGUAGGUGACGCAGUUAACGCAUUAAGCUCUCCGCCUGGGGAGUACGGCCGCAAGGCUAAAACUCAAAGAAAUUGACGGGGGCCCGCACAAGCGGUGGAGCAUGUGGUUUAAUUCGAAGCAACGCGAAGAACCUUACCACCCCUUGACAUACUUGUCGCGGAAUAGAGAGAUCUUUUCCUUCAGUUAGGCUGGACGAUGUACAGGUGCUGCACGGCUGUCGUCAGCUCGUGUCGUGAGAUGUUGGGUUAAGUCCCGCAACGAGCGCAACCCUCACUGUUAGUUGCCAGCAUUUAGUUGGGCACUCUAGCGGAACUGCCGGUGCUAAGCCGGAGGAAGGUGGGGACGACGUCAAGUCAUCAUGGCCCUUACGGGGUGGGCUACACACGUGCUACAAUGGCGAUGACAGAGGGUUAAUCCCUAAAAGUCGUCUCAGUUCGGAUUGUCUUCUGCAACUCGAAGACAUGAAGUUGGAAUCGCUAGUAAUCGCAGGUCAGCAUACUGCGGUGAAUACGUUCCCGGGCCU
This 671-nucleotide ribosomal RNA is filed under the name uncultured bacterium. Its description in RNAcentral is "bacterial SSU rRNA". It matches the Rfam family "Bacterial small subunit ribosomal RNA", at positions 690 to 1381 of the family's 1533-position model. The record is from RNAcentral.